UACUAGAGUAGCACUCGCAUAUCAAUAAGCGGAGGAAAAGAAACUAACAAGGAUUCCCCUAGUAACGGCGAGUGAAGCGGGAAGAGCUCAAAUUUGAAAUCUUAAAGGGUUUCCCUUUACGAAUUGUAGUUUAAAGAAGUGUUUUCUGUUGAGGUUUUGGUAAAAGUUCUUUGGAAUAGGACAUCAUAGAGGGUGAGAAUCCCGUAUUUGACCUUUACUUUCAACUUUGUGAUACACUUUCAAAGAGUCGGAUUGUUUGGGAAUGCAGUCCAAAAUGGGUGGUAAAUUUCAUCUAAAGCUAAAUAUUGGCGAGAGACCGAUAGCGAACAAGUACCGUGAGGGAAAGAUGAAAAGAACUUUGAAAAGAGAGUUAAACAGUACGUGAAAUUGUCAAAAGGGAAGCGUUUGACACCAGUGUUGUUUUUCUGAAAAUCAAUUAAAGAACUGUUUAUGCUAAGUUGUUUAGACUUUAUCAGUUAACUGUUUAGUUUUGAGCUUUUCUUUAAUGCACUUUUCAGUUAACAAGUCAACAUCAAUUUCUUUUGCUGUAAAAAAGCUUGAGGAAGGUGGCUUGAGAUUCGUCUUAAGUGUUUAUAGCCUCUUGCCUAUGCAGUCGGAGAGAUUGAGGUCUGCAGCGUAGAUCCUUCGGGGCUAAAUGCAUUUGUGCUAAGUUAUAGCAUUUUAUAGACAACUUGUUGACUAUGAUUUGUCUUGUAGCUUACUCGCUUAUGUUAUUUUACCUACGCUUAGGAUGUUGAGUAGCGACAUACGCAC
RNAcentral lists this ribosomal RNA (774 nucleotides) under uncultured Neocallimastigales. RNAcentral describes it as "partial large subunit ribosomal RNA". It matches the Rfam family "Eukaryotic large subunit ribosomal RNA", at positions 20 to 649 of the family's 3401-position model. Lineage: Eukaryota; Fungi; Neocallimastigomycota; Neocallimastigomycetes; Neocallimastigales. The record is from RNAcentral.